GGACAUAGGCACCGGAGCUGACUCGGGCAAGGUGGUACCCGAGCCUCGACGUGGCAACCUGUAAACAGCAGAGGCAGGGCCGGCGAGCGGCCGAGAUGCCGCAAGGAGGCUCGGAGGGGCAAAGCCGCAUGCCGACGAGCG
Long non-coding RNA from Gymnogyps californianus (California condor), 141 nucleotides. RefSeq lists it as uncharacterized. The record is from RefSeq and is a predicted model, not a curated record. The transcript is spliced from 3 exons. Lineage: Eukaryota; Metazoa; Chordata; Aves; Accipitriformes; Cathartidae.